This is a long non-coding RNA of Cheilinus undulatus (humphead wrasse), 397 nucleotides long. RefSeq lists it as uncharacterized. NCBI's taxonomy places the organism in Eukaryota, Metazoa, Chordata, Actinopteri, Labriformes, Labridae. The transcript is spliced from 2 exons. The record is from RefSeq and is a predicted model, not a curated record.
GCCUGAGUUUUGUCUACACUCUCCUGUGGUAAACUCCAGCUCCAGGCUCACACACUCUCACAAUGCCUCACUCACCGCCUCACAGCAGCCCAGCUUCAGCACUCUCCCUCGUUGCCCUCACUCUCCCUGGACCUGUGGAUUCCCCUUUACCCCAGCACCUUUACCUGCACAAUAAACCUGUUAAAACCGCUCCUUCAUUUCCGUAUACUGGGUUCAAACCACCACUUUACAUAACACUUGAUAUACUAUACAAUAUGUCUUAUUGUUAAACCCUCCCUGAUGAAAGAAAAUCUUGAAAACAAAACUAAGCCCUAACUUGAAAUUGAGACAAUGUCAAACAGAUCAGAUUAAUUGUUGGCUGAAAUAAAAUCUUCGAGUUGCUGAAAAGGUUAUAAAA